RNAcentral lists this ribosomal RNA (468 nucleotides) under uncultured bacterium. RNAcentral describes it as "partial 16S ribosomal RNA". It matches the Rfam family "Bacterial small subunit ribosomal RNA", at positions 28 to 507 of the family's 1533-position model. The record is from RNAcentral.
GACGAACGCUGGCGGCGUGCUUAACACAUGCAAGUCGAACGGAAAGGCCCUGCUUUUGGGGGGUGCUCGAGGGGCGAACGGGUGAGUAACACGUGAGUAACCUGCCCUUGACUUUGGGAUAACUUCAGGAAACUGGAGCUAAUACCGGAUAGGAGCUCCUGCUGCAUGGUGGGGGUUGGAAAGUUUCGGCGGUUGGGGAUGGACUCGCGGCUUAUCAGCUUGUUGGUGGGGUAGUGGCUUACCAAGGCUUUGACGGGUAGCCGGCCUGAAAGGGUGACCGGCCACAUUGGGACUGAGAUACGGCCCAGACUCCUACGGGAGGCAGCAGUGGGGAAUAUUGCACAAUGGGCGGAAGCCUGAUGCAGCAACGCCGCGUGCGGGAUGACGGCCUUCGGGUUGUAAACCGCUUUCGCCUGUGACGAAGCGUGAGUGACGGUAAUGGGUAAAGAAGCACCGGCUAACUACGUG